UGGGCAGUGACCAGCUGAGUGCUCUGAGGGGGUUACAAAGCAGAGGGUGCUUUCAGGGUGGCUGUUUCUGCUCCUUAAAACCAUCUCCAUAUUGCUGUGCUAGUUUGGAGAGACCCUUUGGGUGCUCUUCUUUAAGUCUUAAUUGUCACCCCAGCCCCAGAUCCUGGCGAGUGUUUCAUUCCUUGGAGCGAGGCCGUUUGAACUCUGCCAUCGCCGCCUUCAGAGGCAUCAGCAUUACACCGAACCUGCUCCAUCACCAUUAGCAGACGCGGUAAUUUAUACAGCGAUUUUAAUUGAAUGCUCAGACCUCGGGGUCACGUAUGGAAAUUAAACAAUGCGUGGAGCAGCUCCAGCCACUUUGGGGGCUGUUACCGUACACACAGAUGCCCACGCGAGCGCGGAGAUCUGGGGAGCAGAAGGAGGAUGCUGAUGGCGUGAGGAGGGAGCGGAGCAAGGUCCCUGCUGCCCACGAUGGGGUGGAGGAGAUGGAACCACCCCAGGAAAAUGUGGUGGAAACUGAGGCAAGCCUGCCGGUGGCUGCCGUGUUUUGCUCUGCAGAUCCCCAUCUCAGUUUGUUUUCCAUGGUUGGCACCGUUCUGGGAAAUGUGAAAAUAAUAACUAUUAAAUGCUAUAAUACGCAGUAAUCCGAUGACUCAUGGGUUAAUUCUCACUCAAAACCAGACAUUUAUUCCCGGAAUGUAAAACAUUUUAACAAUAUUAGUCGUGAAAAAGGAAUGGGGGCUCUUUUGUCAGGAUUUUUGUUUUGUUUUGUUUUGUUUUUUUUCUAAGUUCCAUUAAUUCUUUGUUCAAUUGAUGCAUAUUCAAAAUGGUAUAAGUGGGGCCCUCACUGUUUCAAUUAGCAUUAAUGCACAAUUAUUUUUCUCCAUAUUUAUGCUGCUCUUGCAGGGCACGGUUUUUGGUUGUUGUUGUUGGGCUUUUUUAACAUUUGUAUGUUAAUUCAGCGUUUAAAAGAUCUUCUCCCCAAA
This is a long non-coding RNA of Oxyura jamaicensis (ruddy duck), 986 nucleotides long. RefSeq lists it as uncharacterized. The record is from RefSeq and is a predicted model, not a curated record. Lineage: Eukaryota; Metazoa; Chordata; Aves; Anseriformes; Anatidae. The transcript has 2 exons.